UUUUAUUCUCUUGAUGGACAUAGUGGUUAAGUGGGGGAGGAGGCAAAGUUUCCAGUUUACAUAUGAGGGAAUCAAAAUGCCAGUAGCAGGUCUUCCAACUGUGAGUGACUCUCUGAGGACAUGAUUGGCUGAAGGAACUUCUUGGUGUACUGGGAUGAACUGGAAGAAGAAGUCAGGGGAGGCUGGACUGAACGAGGCUGGACAAUGAACACUGUAAUGAAGCAUGUAUUAUCUUCAGGGCAAAGGAAUCACCCCAGGUGUCUAAAUGUUGUGGGAGUUAGAUCUCAACUCACCUUGUGAUCUGAGAAGAGGACUGAUUGAACCCUUGUCUGCAAAAGAGAAAACUAAGAUUGGUGACAUCUUAGGUGAGUGGUCU
This 376-nucleotide long non-coding RNA is filed under the name Capra hircus (goat). RNAcentral describes it as "lncRNA (ENSCHIG00000007033.1)". Lineage: Eukaryota; Metazoa; Chordata; Mammalia; Artiodactyla; Bovidae. The record is from RNAcentral.